AUUACCAUCUCCUCCACAAACCCAGAAAUUGCCAUGAGUCUGAGGACAGCGAUACUGACGAUCUUCUGGAAAUGUUUUACUCCACUGUCAAGAAACAGAUGGGCAGAUCCACCUAAGAUGUUGUGCAGCACAAGGACAACCAGAAAAAAAAGCCAAGAGGAGUUUGCCCUUCCUCGAAAACCCUCAAGUGGUCUUCACACUGUCUUUCAGCCUGCCAUUCCUGUAAGCAAGAUAAACAUUCAGCAGCUCUGUCUACCUGAGAGCAGCUUCAGAGCCUUCACUGUCCCCAUCAUCACCACCCUCUUCUCCCUAAUCAGCACUGGGACCAGUAUGCUGAGGCAGAGGAGAAGGACAUCCAGCAGAAUUGGACUGCCAC
Molecule: long non-coding RNA, 376 nt
Organism: Columba livia (rock pigeon)
Lineage: Eukaryota; Metazoa; Chordata; Aves; Columbiformes; Columbidae
Exons: 3
Source: RefSeq, a predicted model, not a curated record